RNAcentral lists this non-coding RNA (111 nucleotides) under Paenibacillus alvei. Its description in RNAcentral is "yjdF". It matches the Rfam family "azaaromatic riboswitch aptamer (yjdF RNA)". The record is from RNAcentral. Lineage: Bacteria; Bacillati; Bacillota; Bacilli; Caryophanales; Paenibacillaceae.
AGGGAAGAGUGUAAAAACACAGUUUUCGGUUGGUAGUCCGAACGUUCCGGCAUGAAUGAUCGGGAUCAGUAACCUUCCCCCCUUGGGAUGUCCAUCACUCUUUAUGACAAA